RNAcentral lists this transfer RNA (77 nucleotides) under Bacillota bacterium. RNAcentral's name for it is "tRNA-Met". It matches the Rfam family "tRNA". From Rfam's summary of the family: Transfer RNA (tRNA) molecules are approximately 80 nucleotides in length. Their secondary structure includes four short double-helical elements and three loops (D, anti-codon, and T loops). RNAcentral also lists the same sequence under 1 other name. The record is from RNAcentral. Lineage: Bacteria; Bacillati; Bacillota.
CGCGGGGUGGAGCAGUCCGGUAGCUCGUCGGGCUCAUAACCCGGAGGUCGCUGGUUCAAAUCCAGCCCCCGCUACCA